This 260-nucleotide unclassified non-coding RNA is filed under the name Basidiomycota sp. RNAcentral describes it as "partial contains small subunit ribosomal RNA, internal transcribed spacer 1, and 5.8S ribosomal RNA". The stretch from base 1 to 47 matches the Rfam family "Eukaryotic small subunit ribosomal RNA", at positions 1785 to 1831 of the family's 1831-position model. Lineage: Eukaryota; Fungi; Basidiomycota. The record is from RNAcentral.
AAAGUCGUAACAAGGUUUCCGUAGGUGAACCUGCGGAAGGAUCAUUAGUGAAUUCAUUUUCUCUUUGGUUUCGGCCAAAGAGGUGCGUCUUGGAGCCCUCGUGCUCCUUGAUGUAGAUAUCACAUCUAUAACACCUGUGAACUGUCUGUCAAGAACAAGGCUUCGGCUUUGGACUUGUACAUUUUACCAAACUAUACUUUUAAAAAAUGUCAUUUUAUUAUAAACAAAUAAAACUUUUAACAACGGAUCUCUUGGCUCUC